This 100-nucleotide ribosomal RNA is filed under the name Trichoderma asperellum. RNAcentral describes it as "5.8S ribosomal RNA". Lineage: Eukaryota; Fungi; Ascomycota; Sordariomycetes; Hypocreales; Hypocreaceae. The record is from RNAcentral.
CUUUCAGCAGAAGAUCUCAUGGUUUUGGCAUCGAUGACGUCUCUACAAAACUGGAAAAUCCUGUGAACUGAAGAACUCUGUGAUCCUGCAUUAUUUUGUU